Long non-coding RNA from Ictalurus punctatus (channel catfish), 393 nucleotides. Lineage: Eukaryota; Metazoa; Chordata; Actinopteri; Siluriformes; Ictaluridae. The record is from Ensembl.
AUUCAGCCUAACUAAUAUAUUGAGCAUAAAGUCCAUGAAAACGAGUCUCACACACAGGAUGUAAAGCAGGAAUAAGCACAAAGUUAGAACGGUCUUUUUUAAUUUUUUUGAGAAAUAUAUUAAAAUCACUUAGAAGGUCGUAGUGCCGAGCGGCUCAGGAAGGAAGUCAACCUGAAACAGUUAACUGAUGAAUACACACCCGAGCACGAGACUGACAGAAUGACAAGAAAGGCAACCCGAGCGAGACGGAAUCUUUAUAUCAUAGAAAACGUCACGACGCUUAAAGCUUACAGUGUGUGAGUGUGUGAGUGUGUGUGUGUGUGUGAGUGUGUGUGUGUGUGUGUGUGAAUGUGUGUGUGUGUGAGUGAGUGUGUGUGUGAGUGUGUGUGUGUG